RNAcentral lists this ribosomal RNA (253 nucleotides) under uncultured bacterium. Its description in RNAcentral is "partial 16S ribosomal RNA". It matches the Rfam family "Bacterial small subunit ribosomal RNA", at positions 524 to 776 of the family's 1533-position model. The record is from RNAcentral.
CACGUAGGGUGCAAGCGUUGUCCGGAUUUAUUGGGCGUAAAGAGCUCGUAGGCGGCUCAGUAAGUCAGGUGUGAAAGCCCCGGGCUUAACCUGGGAACUGCGUUUGAUACGGAUGGGCUAGAGUUCGGGAGAGGAGAGUGGAAUUCCCAGUGUAGAGGUGAAAUUCGUAGAUAUUGGGAAGAACACCGGUGGCGAAGGCGGCUCUCUGGACCGAGACUGACGCUGAGGCGCGAAAGCGUGGGGAGCAAACAGG